This 497-nucleotide ribosomal RNA is filed under the name uncultured bacterium. Its description in RNAcentral is "bacterial SSU rRNA". It matches the Rfam family "Bacterial small subunit ribosomal RNA", at positions 899 to 1397 of the family's 1533-position model. The record is from RNAcentral.
ACUCAAAGGAAUAGACGGGGGCCCGCACAAGCGGUGGAGCAUGUGGUUUAAUUCGAAGCAACGCGAAGAACCUUACCAAGGCUUGACAUGGGGACGAAGGGUGUAGAGAUAUACUUUCCCUUCGGGGCGUCCCACACAGGUGGUGCAUGGUUGUCGUCAGCUCGUGUCGUGAGAUGUUGGGUUAAGUCCCGCAACGAGCGCAACCCUUAUUCUUAGUAGCCAGCAUUUAGGAUGGGCACACUAGGGAGACUGCCGUGGAUAACACGGAGGAAGGUGGGGACGACGUCAAAUCAUCAUGCCCCUUAUGUCUUGGGCGACACACGUGCUACAAUGGCUCAUACAGAGUGAAGCAAUACGGUGACGUGGAGCAAAUCACAAAAAUGGGUCUCAGUUCGGAUUGUAGGCUGCAACCCGCCUACAUGAAGUUGGAAUCGCUAGUAAUCGCAAAUCAGCAUGUUGCGGUGAAUACGUUCCCGGGCCUUGCACACACCGCCCGU